GUCUACGGCCAUACCAACCUGAACGCGCCCGAUCUCGUAAGCUAAGCAGGGUCGUGCCUGGUUAGUACUUGGAUGGGAGAAAAGACAUUCAUUCCUUGUGAGUUAUUAUAAAAAUCUGAAGUAU
This 124-nucleotide ribosomal RNA is filed under the name Octodon degus (degu). Lineage: Eukaryota; Metazoa; Chordata; Mammalia; Rodentia; Octodontidae. The record is from RNAcentral.